GUGAACGCUGGCGGUAGGCCUAACACAUGCAAGUCGCACGGCAGCACAGUAAGAGCUUGCUCUUACGGGUGGCGAGUGGCGGACGGGUGAGGAAUACAUCGGAAUCUACUUUUUCGUGGGGGAUAACGUAGGGAAACUUACGCUAAUACCGCAUACGACCUACGGGUGAAAGCAGGGGAUCUUCGGACCUUGCGCGAUUGAAUGAGCCGAUGUCGGAUUAGCUAGUUGGCGGGGUAAAGGCCCACCAAGGCGACGAUCCGUAGCUGGUCUGAGGGGAUGAUCAGCCACACUGGAACUGAGACACGGUCCAGACUCCUACGGGAGGCAGCAGUGGGGAAUAUUGGACAAUGGGCGCAAGCCUGAUCCAGCCAUACCGCGUGGGUGAAGAAGGCCUUCGGGUUGUAAAGCCCUUUUGUUGGGAAAGAAAAGCAGCAGGUUAAUACCCCGCUGUUCUGACGGUACCCAAAGAAUAAGCACCGGCUAACUUCGUG
Molecule: ribosomal RNA, 491 nt
Filed under: uncultured bacterium
Lineage: Bacteria
Description: partial 16S ribosomal RNA
Rfam family: Bacterial small subunit ribosomal RNA
Source: RNAcentral